RNAcentral lists this transfer RNA (73 nucleotides) under Paludibacter sp. 221. RNAcentral's name for it is "tRNA-Lys". It matches the Rfam family "tRNA". From Rfam's summary of the family: Transfer RNA (tRNA) molecules are approximately 80 nucleotides in length. Their secondary structure includes four short double-helical elements and three loops (D, anti-codon, and T loops). Further hydrogen bonds mediate the characteristic L-shaped molecular structure. tRNAs have two regions of fundamental functional importance: the anti-codon, which is responsible for specific mRNA codon recognition, and the 3' end, to which the tRNAs corresponding amino acid is attached (by aminoacyl-tRNA synthetases). tRNAs cope with the degeneracy of the genetic code in two manners: having more than one tRNA (with a specific anti-codon) for a particular amino acid; and 'wobble' base-pairing, i.e. permitting non-standard base-pairing at the 3rd anti-codon position. The record is from RNAcentral. Lineage: Bacteria; Pseudomonadati; Bacteroidota; Bacteroidia; Bacteroidales; Paludibacteraceae.
GAUUCAGUAGCUCAGCAGGUAGAGCACAUCCCUUUUAAGGAUGGGGUCCUGGGUUCGAACCCCAGCUGAAUCA